RNAcentral lists this ribosomal RNA (440 nucleotides) under uncultured bacterium. Its description in RNAcentral is "partial 16S ribosomal RNA". It matches the Rfam family "Bacterial small subunit ribosomal RNA", at positions 338 to 795 of the family's 1533-position model. The record is from RNAcentral.
CCUACGGGAGGCAGCAGUAGGGAAUAUUGCUCAAUGGGGGAAACCCUGAAGCAGCAACGCCGCGUGGAGGAUGAAGGUUUUCGGAUUGUAAACUCCUUUUGUUAGAGAAGAUAAUGACUGUAUCUAACGAAUAAGCACCGGCUAACUCCGUGCCAGCAGCCGCGGUAAUACGGAGGGUGCAAGCGUUACUCGGAAUCACUGGGCGUAAAGAGCGCGUAGGCGGGAUAGCAAGUCAGAUGUGAAAUCCUAUGGCUUAACCAUAGAAGUGCAUUUGAAACUGUUAUUCUAGAGUAUGGGAGAGGUAGGUGGAAUGCUUGGUGUAGGGGUAAAAUGCGUAGAUAUCAAGAGGAAUACUCAUUGCGAAGGCGACCUGCUAGAACAUAACUGACGCUGAUGCGCGAAAGCGUGGGGAGCAAACAGGAUUAGAUACCCGAGUAGUC